Molecule: long non-coding RNA, 646 nt
Filed under: Homo sapiens (human)
Lineage: Eukaryota; Metazoa; Chordata; Mammalia; Primates; Hominidae
Description: non-protein coding lnc-CETN3-1:2
Source: RNAcentral
UACGUAGCUUUUUAAAGACCACUCAAUAUACAUAAACUAAAUGUUAAGUGACAAAAAUAUUUUCAAAUUAUAUUUCCUACCAUUUAGGACCUCCUUAAAUUUAACAGCAGGUUAAAGGUUUGGGGUUGGCUUAUUUUUUAAGAAAAUAUACAUUUUGAUUGUUUUGAAAGUUUAUACAUUUAAGGUUUCUACCAAACAGGUAGAUAUAACCAUACUUUCAGCAAGAUUACAUUUUCCUUUUUCUAUUAAGAUUUAAAAUGUUCCAUUAAAUCUGAGUAGCUAGCCAAAACUGAGCUUUCCAGGAGACUUUCUAUACCAGUCUUGCUGGGAGAUAAUUGUUGCUAAUCUAAGUCCAAGGGAUAGUGGGAUGUUUUUCAACACUGGCAAUAAAAACAAAAUAACUCUUUCAAAGAGGGAGAAGCAAGAUUUGGAUUCUAAGAAUUUUCCUUGUGAAAGAAAACUUUGUUUAUAUCUAAUUGGUUGAUUUCACUACUGUAGCAAAGAUACAAGAAAAAAAACUGGGAAAGAUUUUUAAAAACUAGAAAAUUAACAGUCUAUUUCAUGUCGUUUGGGGAAAAAUUAAAUGACAUUAUGUUUGUGAAAAUGUUUUGUGAAUUGCAAAGUUAUAUUAAAAUUAAUUGUUAUA